ACUUCGUCAUGAAAGUUCUCUGUUCCGUAAUAUUUUACAGUACCCUCUUGGUCAAGUACAAUGCAUUCCGGGUUAAUGUCGGAAUUGUGAAGAACUCAUUGGAGCUAAUUCAACACACUUGCGACGAGCUCCAAGACGUGAACGAAAUAGAUAUUGUAAAGAAAUACGGAAACAUUGCGAGACGUUACACGGCCACAUUUACACUAGUCGGCAUCGUAAUAGUAAGUAUAAUUAUUUGCAUACCGAUUUGGCCUCGCAUCGUCGACAUCUUUCUGCCUAUGAAUGAAUCGAGACCACUUUUUAUGGCGCAUAUCAUGAUCGAGUACUUCAUCGAUCGAGAAAUGUAUUCCUAUUUGGUCGUGCUGCACUCGAGCAUAGCUAUUUCUGUAGGAGCAAUAGUGGAAGUAGCGACGGGAACGAUGCUAAUAGGAUACUACAAACAUGUCUGCGCAAUGUUCAAAAUCGCCAGCUACCGUAUCGAGCAAGCGAUGAAGAUCAAUGCUCAACAAUACAUCGAUCCGAGGAGAGAAAUUACAAUUCUUAUGAUGAACAGGAUUAUUCAUGCCGUAGACAUUCAUCGGAAAGCUAUGAUGUCGGUCUGCCGAAUAUUUAAUAACCAAUUUCGAGGUAUCGUUCUUCAUUUUAAUCGCGCUCGGUGUGAUGUGCCUGAGUCUCAAUCUCUUUCGAGUGAGUCUCACACGUGGCUUACUUUCUAUAGUAUUUCCCGCUCUGAAUGUCUUUUCGCUAGAAUCUAUCUAACGCAUUUGCUCCUAAAUGAGAACUUCCGAUCCUAUUUAUAUUCCGAUAUUUCCGAAGAGUCUCAUCGCAACCGCACGAUAUUUCAGGUCUUUCAGAUAGUGUCGUUCGAGAAUGACACGAACGGGGUUUACUUACAUCUCAUAUACGUAAACAUCGUUCUUCUGUAUAUGUUCACAGCCAACUAUAUUGCACAGCAAAUCACGGAUUGCAACCAUGAUGUAUUCGUGACCGUAUAUAAUAUCCGGUGGUACACAGCGCCGUUGCAAAUACAAAAGACGAUAUUGUUUCUGUUGCAAAGAGGCACCAAACCGUUCAGUCUCACUCUCGGUGGACUGUUUGUGGCAUCUUUGAAAAGUGCUGCUACGGUACAAAAUCCAUUAAAAUAUAAUCGAAAUAGCGCGCUUCGGAAAGUCAGCAUUAAAGAGAAAAUCUUGCUCGUUACAGUUGGCGAGUACCUCCAUAUCUUACUUCAGUGUUCUUUACUCUACGCGACAUUGACGCGAGAAUUGUCAAGAAAUAAUGUAAUGAAGUAACGUUAGCGAGUAAAAUUUAAUUAGGCAUGAACGACAUUAGCCGUAAUCUAGACGGAAGAUUAAUUGACAUGAGGACAAAGUGUUGUAUCAAUUAAGAUACUAAGAAAAUAGUAUAUCAUAAGUGUUAAGGAGCGUAUGAGAAAACGUUGUUCUUAAUAAACAACAUUACAAUAAUUUCAGCUAAUAAAGAACAAAGAGGUGGCCGAGUAAAAUGAUAGAAACAAAGCUCAGCACCGUGUUCUAAUUCUCCAUGCCGUGAUCAUCAGAACUACGUUUAAUUACGGUUACUUUGUUUCUAGAUUUAUAGAUAGAUGCUCCAACAUGCGUUCGCAAAUAAAUUCGGUUCCUAUUCGGCACUUUAAGAACAUUUUCGUUUGAUGUCGGUGAGAUUAUCCAGCCGGUGCUACAAGUCGAUCAUUGCACCAUGCGCUAAUAUCGUACCUCUGUUUAUCCAUCUAAGAUACGCUAAUAAACCAGGCACAUCCGGCUCUUGAAGAUCGAAUGGAAUCAACGACCCUCUUUAAAAUUAACCCUUAGAAACUACUGGAAAUACGGUUCUAAUAACAAUCGAGACUUUGAACGCAUGUUAGGCGCGCAUACGGCGAUUGAUACUACGAGAUUUUAACGCGAAAAUACUUCAGAAAUAAAUCAACAUAUACAUACACACACACAUUUUACUCCUAUUACGCAAGAAAUCGUAAUAGAUCUUUCCUGUUGAAGAAACCAUAUACGCACAGCUGCGAAUCAUCUUAAUAAACGUAUUAAAAAAAUCGGAAAUUCUUUUCAAGAGAAUCGUGAGAAAAGUCGUGAUAAAAAAGUCGAAAAUGCAAUAAAGUCUCUGCCGUAGAUUUAUGAUGUAGAAUAAUUCGUGCUUUUAAAAUUUUAUAAAUAGCAAUAUAGUAAUUCUUUAUUGCACGACAAGCGUAAACGUAAAAUUGUAAAUAAAUUGUCAUCUAUUCUAUCACGAAUACAAAAUGUGUGUAAAAUUGAGCUUUAUAUAUACGAUGCCGUAAUAUAAACGCAUUCUAUCAUAGUGCAAACAAAUCUUAUCGCUUCAAUGUUUUCAAAUGUUUAUUGCCUGUCGUGUGUUUCAUAUCUAUUUUUUUAAGCCUUACGAUUGCUUUUUAUGACAAUAUCACGCGACGAAUUAAAUAAAAAGAGCUCGCAUAGCAAAAUACAUCGUCAGUUUCAGUAAGGAAGGAGUGGAGUAUUUUGCAUAAUCUCCUAUAAUAUCCGAUUUUUACUGAAAAAGUUCGAUUAAAAGUUCAUCUUUCGAAGUCAUGGAGAAUAAGCAAAUAAGCGGACUUCUGAUCAUGUGUCUCUUAUUAUCGAAUCUUAUGUCGAUUCUUUGCGACAACGACAACGAUAAGACAACACCGAUAUGUCCUCCGAAUUCAGUAUACAUCAAUGGAGAGUGUCGAUUCGAAUAUGGACAUAUAUAAAUGAAGGAAAUUAAAACGCCGGACAAUUGAGAAAAUAGAAAACUGCCGACGAAUCUUCCUGCAUUGCGGAUCACCGAAACACGGAAAUAUGAUUAUUUUGUUAAUUGAUUUACGAAAGUUCCGACAUAUGCGUGUAAAUAAGAUAAGAUUUGGCCGUUAUUUUAGCCAUUUUAAAGGCACUUUCGAUCGAGAUCUUCGCUGAGAUCUUCCAGCCGGUGCGGCGAAUUAAUCGUUGCACUUCGUGCUAACAUUGUACCUCUGUUUGUCCAUUUAAGAUACGCUAAUAAACCAGACACAUCCGGCUCUCGAA
This is an RNA transcript of Harpegnathos saltator (Jerdon's jumping ant), 3044 nucleotides long. It is a transcript of the gene named odorant receptor 49b-like, with no coding region annotated. Lineage: Eukaryota; Metazoa; Arthropoda; Insecta; Hymenoptera; Formicidae. The transcript has 7 exons. The record is from RefSeq and is a predicted model, not a curated record.